This 246-nucleotide small RNA is filed under the name Arabidopsis thaliana (thale cress). RNAcentral's name for it is "ATSL271610". The record is from RNAcentral. Lineage: Eukaryota; Viridiplantae; Streptophyta; Magnoliopsida; Brassicales; Brassicaceae.
UGUGGAGUCAAAUAUGACUAGAUGUCAUGUGUAUGAGUGAGUAUAACAACUAGAACCGCAACCGGAUUUUAAAAGCCUAAGUAUUGCAUCCUUGUUAGAAGAUACAAAGACAAAGACUCAUACGGACUUCGGGUACACCAUCAAAGCUUUGAGAAGCAAGAAGAAGCUUGGUUAGUGUUUUGGAGUCAAAAUUGUUAUGUGUAUGAUUGAGAAUAAGAACUUAAACCGGAACCCGAGCUUAUUAGC